AUUGAACGCUGGCGGAAUGCUUUACACAUGCAAGUCGAACGGCAGCACGGGGGCAACCCUGGUGGCGAGUGGCGAACGGGUGAGUAAUACAUCGGAACGUGCCCAGUCGUGGGGGAUAACGUAGCGAAAGUUACGCUAAUACCGCAUACGAUCUACGGAUGAAAGCGGGGGACCGUAAGGCCCCGCGCGAUUGGAGCGGCCGAUGUCAGAUUAGGUAGUUGGUGAGGUAAAGGCUCACCAAGCCGACGAGCUGUAGCUGGUCUGAGAGGACGACCGGCCACACUGGGACUGAGACACGGCCCAGACUCCUACGGGGGGCAGCAGUGGGGAAUUUCGGACAAUGGGCGCAAGCCUGAUCCAGCCAUUCCGCGUGCAGGACGAAGGCCUUCGGGUUGUAAACUGCUUUUGUACGGAACGAAAAGGCUCUGGUUAAUACCUGGGGCUCAUGACGGUACCGUAAGAAUAAGCACCGGCUAACUACGUGCCAGCAGCCGCGGUAA
Molecule: ribosomal RNA, 500 nt
Filed under: uncultured bacterium
Lineage: Bacteria
Description: partial 16S ribosomal RNA
Rfam family: Bacterial small subunit ribosomal RNA
Source: RNAcentral